Molecule: small RNA, 543 nt
Filed under: uncultured fungus
Lineage: Eukaryota; Fungi
Description: eukaryotic LSU rRNA
Rfam family: 5.8S ribosomal RNA (bases 175-328)
Source: RNAcentral
GGAAGGAUCAUUAUUGAAAUAAACCUGAUGGGUUGUUGCUGGUUCUCUAGGGAGCAUGUGCACGCCUUGUCAUCUUUAUAUCUCCACCUGUGCACCUUUUGUAGGCCUUCCAGGUCUAUGUUUGCCUCAUUUAACCCCAUGUUAAUAGAAUGUUGUUGUGCCUAUAUAAUAUACAACUUUCAGCAACGGAUCUCUUGGCUCUCGCAUCGAUGAAGAACGCAGCGAAAUGCGAUAAGUAAUGUGAAUUGCAGAAUUCAGUGAAUCAUCGAAUCUUUGAACGCACCUUGCGCUCCUUGGUAUUCCGAGGAGCAUGCCUGUUUGAGUGUCAUUAAAUACAUAUAUCAACCUUCUCAUUGUGGAAUGGUUUGGAUGUGGGGGUUUUCUUGCUGGAACCUUUCAAAGAGUCCAGCUCCCCUUAAAUGCAUUAGCAGAACAAACCUGUUCAUUGGCGUGAUAACUAUCUAUGCUAAUUGAAUAUGAAGGGCAGUUCAUCUUUCUAGCAGUCCUUUGGACAACUCAUCAUUAAUGUGGCCUCAAAUCAGG